Molecule: non-coding RNA, 973 nt
Organism: Heterocephalus glaber (naked mole-rat)
Lineage: Eukaryota; Metazoa; Chordata; Mammalia; Rodentia; Bathyergidae
Source: RefSeq, a predicted model, not a curated record
UCCUUGCGCUUGCGCAGCGGGUGAUGAAACCACUGAGCCAAAUCCCCGGCCCUCAUGGUUUGCUCUUUCUCUCCCAUGCUACCGAAGGCAAAAUGUAUCCAACGAGUGUACAUGAUAGGAUUUUUAGAAGAAGGAGGGCUUCCACAGGAAAAGCUUCAAAGAAGACGUGGAAUUUGAAGAUGCAGAAUCAACCUGAAGCAAACAUGCUAACUCGAUGUCAGGCAGGAGCCUGGAUUCUAUCUGCGUUCAUCUGACUCCAAAGCCUUUCCCUGUUGCCUUGCGGGGACUGAAGUAGUCACAUAAAAGCGUUCAAUUUUGCUGCUGCUUCCACACAUACUUGGAGGCCAGCUAUGGGAUGUCCAGACAUAACUCCAGUGGUCCAGUGAUGCUGUGAUGCUUCAGGACAAGAUUACACCAGCUGAAAACAUCCUGGGAGGAACAAAAUCUUCAUCUGCAUAGUUCCUCAUUGUUCUAGGAUUUUCCCAGAUGCUGCCCUCUGAGCUAAAUGUUGUAUUUGUUCCUCCUGAUGCACUGAACUCUCUGUCCUGAGUCAUCUGUUAGAUUUGUUUCUUCCUAUAUACUGAACAAAGGUGUGGCAAGCUAGGGGCUUUCAUUCUUGCUGUGAUACUAGGAGUUGCUGCAGGGGUUCUAGUAACUUCCCAUUUCCCUGUUCUCUACAACCAAAUAUUGUUGCACAGGACACACUGAAUAUCCAAGGAGCUGCCUUUCAAAAUAAAUCUCUUAUUUUGCCUUCACAAAUGGCUAAUCACAUUGUAUUAAGAGUUAGCAGCUUUCUCUCUUGGAAGGAGUGAGUUUGAAACUAAGCAGAUGGGGGAAAAAAGAGUUUUUUGCAACCAUCACCCCCUUUAUUUUUCAGGCUAUAAAAUAUCAGAGACUAUACAGUAUACAGCAAGUGAAGGAUUUUAAAUGAGCCCUUCAGGAAAAGGAUGGCUCAUUAAAAAAAUCAGGGAAU